UAAGUAGAAUUUUCACGAUUUAGGUUUA
This 28-nucleotide small RNA is filed under the name Bombyx mori (domestic silkworm). RNAcentral's name for it is "ovarian small RNA-19374". Lineage: Eukaryota; Metazoa; Arthropoda; Insecta; Lepidoptera; Bombycidae. The record is from RNAcentral.